Non-coding RNA from Pteropus alecto (black flying fox), 119 nucleotides. Lineage: Eukaryota; Metazoa; Chordata; Mammalia; Chiroptera; Pteropodidae. The record is from Rfam.
GUCUAUGGCCAUGCCCCCCUGAACAAGCCCUAUCCCGUCUGACCUCGGAAGCUAAGCAGGGUCAGGCCUGCUUAGUACUUGAAUGGGAGACCACCUAGGAAGACCAGGUGCUGUAGGUA